UACGAACUGUGCGAACGUUAUUCGGAAUCACUGGGCUUAAAGGGUGCGUAGGCGGUUUUCCAAGUCAGGUGUGAAAGCCCACGGCUCAACCGUGGAACUGCGCUUGAAACUAGAAGGCUAGAGUGAGGUAGGGGUAUGCGGAACUUCCAGUGGAGCGGUGAAAUGUGUAGAUAUUGGAAGGAACGCCAGCAGCGAAAGCGGCAUACUGGGCCUUUUCUGACGCUGAGGCACGAAAGCCAGGGGAGCGAACGGG
RNAcentral lists this ribosomal RNA (253 nucleotides) under uncultured bacterium. RNAcentral describes it as "partial 16S ribosomal RNA". It matches the Rfam family "Bacterial small subunit ribosomal RNA", at positions 524 to 776 of the family's 1533-position model. The record is from RNAcentral.